Molecule: ribosomal RNA, 445 nt
Filed under: uncultured bacterium
Lineage: Bacteria
Description: bacterial SSU rRNA
Rfam family: Bacterial small subunit ribosomal RNA
Source: RNAcentral
ACCAGACUCCUACGGGAGGCAGCAGUGGGGGAUAUUGCACAAUGGGGGGAACCCUGAUGCAGCGACGCCGCGUGGGUGAAGAAGCGCCUCGGCGCGUAAAGCCCUGUCAGCAGGGAAGAAAAUGACGGUACCUGAAGAAGAAGCCCCGGCUAACUACGUGCCAGCAGCCGCGGUAAUACGUAGGGGGCAAGCGUUAUCCGGAUUUACUGGGUGUAAAGGGGGCGCAGACGGCGAUGCAAGCCAGGAGUGAAAGCCCGGGGCCCAACCCCGGGACUGCUCUUGGAACUGCGUGGCUGGAGUGCAGGAGGGGCAGGCGGAAUUCCUGGUGUAGCGGUGAAAUGCGUAGAUAUCAGGAGGAACACCGGUGGCGAAGGCGGCCUGCUGGACUGCAACUGACGGUGAGGCGCGAAAGCGUGGGGAGCAAACAGGAUUAGAUACCCGUGUA